CCUGGUGGCGAGCGGCGGACGGGUGAGUAAUGCAUAGAAAUCUGCCCGGUAGUGGGGGAUAACCUGGGGAAACCCAGGCUAAUACCGCAUACGUCCUACGGGAGAAAGCAGGGGAUCUUCGGACCUUGCGCUAUCGGAUGAGUCUAUGUCGGAUUAGCUUGUUGGUGAGGUAAUGGCUCACCAGGGCGACGAUCCGUAGCUGGUCUGAGAGGAUGAUCAGCCACAUCGGGACUGAGACACGGCCCGAACUCCUACGGGAGGCAGCAGUGGGGAAUAUUGGACAAUGGGCGAAAGCCUGAUCCAGCCAUGCCGCGUGUGUGAAGAAGGCCUUCGGGUUGUAAAGCACUUUCAGUGGGGAAGAAAGCCUUGGGGCUAAUACCCUCGAGGAAGGACAUCACCCACAGAAGAAGCACCGGCUAACUCCGUGCCAGCAGCCGCGGUAAUACGGAGGGUGCGAGCGUUAAUCGGAAUUACUGGGCGUAAAGCGCGCGUAGGCGGUCUGAUAAGCCGGUUGUGAAAGCCCCGGGCUCAACCUGGGAACGGCAUCCGGAACUGUCAGGCUAGAGUGCAGGAGAGGAAGGUAGAAUUCCCGGUGUAGCGGUGAAAUGCGUAGAGAUCGGGAGGAAUACCAGUGGCGAAGGCGGCCUUCUGGACUGACACUGACGCUGAGGUGCGAAAGCGUGGGUAGCAAACAGGAUUAGAUACCCUGGUAGUCCACGCCGUAAACGAUGUCGACUAGCCGUUGGGCUCCUUGAGAGCUUUGUGGCGCAGUUAAUGCGAUAAGUCGACCGCCUGGGGAGU
Molecule: ribosomal RNA, 801 nt
Filed under: uncultured bacterium
Lineage: Bacteria
Description: bacterial SSU rRNA
Rfam family: Bacterial small subunit ribosomal RNA
Source: RNAcentral